UACGAAGGGGGCUAGCGUUGCUCGGAAUCACUGGGCGUAAAGCGCACGUAGGCGGAUUGCUAAGUCAGGGGUGAAAUCCUGGAGCUCAACUCCAGAACUGCCUUUGAUACUGGUGAUCUUGAGUCCGGGAGAGGUGAGUGGAACUGCGAGUGUAGAGGUGAAAUUCGUAGAUAUCGAGAGGAAUACCUGUGGCGAAGGCGGCCAACUGGACGAGUACUGACACUGAGACACGAAAGCGUGGGGAGCAAACAGG
RNAcentral lists this ribosomal RNA (253 nucleotides) under uncultured bacterium. RNAcentral describes it as "partial 16S ribosomal RNA". It matches the Rfam family "Bacterial small subunit ribosomal RNA", at positions 524 to 776 of the family's 1533-position model. The record is from RNAcentral.